RNAcentral lists this ribosomal RNA (971 nucleotides) under Escherichia coli. Its description in RNAcentral is "partial 23S ribosomal RNA". It matches the Rfam family "Bacterial large subunit ribosomal RNA", at positions 345 to 1320 of the family's 2925-position model. Lineage: Bacteria; Pseudomonadati; Pseudomonadota; Gammaproteobacteria; Enterobacterales; Enterobacteriaceae. The record is from RNAcentral.
GAAAGGCGCGCGAUACAGGGUGACAGCCCCGUACACAAAAAUGCACAUGCUGUGAGCUCGAUGAGUAGGGCGGGACACGUGGUAUCCUGUCUGAAUAUGGGGGGACCAUCCUCCAAGGCUAAAUACUCCUGACUGACCGAUAGUGAACCAGUACCGUGAGGGAAAGGCGAAAAGAACCCCGGCGAGGGGAGUGAAAAAGAACCUGAAACCGUGUACGUACAAGCAGUGGGAGCCUCUUUAUGGGGUGACUGCGUACCUUUUGUAUAAUGGGUCAGCGACUUAUAUUCUGUAGCAAGGUUAACCGAAUAGGGGAGCCGAAGGGAAACCGAGUCUUAACUGGGCGUUAAGUUGCAGGGUAUAGACCCGAAACCCGGUGAUCUAGCCAUGGGCAGGUUGAAGGUUGGGUAACACUAACUGGAGGACCGAACCGACUAAUGUUGAAAAAUUAGCGGAUGACUUGUGGCUGGGGGUGAAAGGCCAAUCAAACCGGGAGAUAGCUGGUUCUCCCCGAAAGCUAUUUAGGUAGCGCCUCGUGAAUUCAUCUCCGGGGGUAGAGCACUGUUUCGGCAAGGGGGUCAUCCCGACUUACCAACCCGAUGCAAACUGCGAAUACCGGAGAAUGUUAUCACGGGAGACACACGGCGGGUGCUAACGUCCGUCGUGAAGAGGGAAACAACCCAGACCGCCAGCUAAGGUCCCAAAGUCAUGGUUAAGUGGGAAACGAUGUGGGAAGGCCCAGACAGCCAGGAUGUUGGCUUAGAAGCAGCCAUCAUUUAAAGAAAGCGUAAUAGCUCACUGGUCGAGUCGGCCUGCGCGGAAGAUGUAACGGGGCUAAACCAUGCACCGAAGCUGCGGCAGCGACACUAUGUGUUGUUGGGUAGGGGAGCGUUCUGUAAGCCUGCGAAGGUGUACUGUGAGGUAUGCUGGAGGUAUCAGAAGUGCGAAUGCUGACAUAAGUAACGAUAAAGCGG